ACGGGGGGAGGAAAGUAGGGGAUCGAAAGACCUCGCGCUAUUGGAGCGGCCGAUGUCCGAUUAGCUAGUUGGUGGGGUAAUGGCCUACCAAGGCAACGAUCGGUAGCCGGUCUGAGAGGAUGAUCAGCCACACUGGGACUGAGACACGGCCCAGACUCCUACGGGAGGCAGCAGUGGGGAAUUUUGGACAAUGGGCGCAAGCCUGAUCCAGCCAUGCCGCGUGAGUGAAGAAGGCCUUCGGGCUGUAAAGCUCUUUCGGCCGGAACGAAAUCGUCCGGGCUAACACCUCGGAUGGAUGACGGUACCGGAAGAAGAAGCACCGGCUAACUACGUGCCAGCAGCCGCGGUAAUACGUAGGGUGCAGGCGUUAAUCGGAAUUACUGGGCGUAAAGCGUGCGCAGGCGGCUUCCUAAGUCAGAUGUGAAAUCCCCGGGCUUAACCUGGGAACUGCGUUUGAAACUACAAAGCUAG
Molecule: ribosomal RNA, 471 nt
Filed under: uncultured Nitrosospira sp.
Lineage: Bacteria; Pseudomonadati; Pseudomonadota; Betaproteobacteria; Nitrosomonadales; Nitrosomonadaceae
Description: bacterial SSU rRNA
Rfam family: Bacterial small subunit ribosomal RNA
Source: RNAcentral